Molecule: non-coding RNA, 60 nt
Organism: Ciona savignyi (Pacific transparent sea squirt)
Lineage: Eukaryota; Metazoa; Chordata; Ascidiacea; Phlebobranchia; Cionidae
Source: Rfam
UCUCGGGCUUGGUUAGUACUUGGAUGGGUGACCGCUUGGGAAUACCAAGUGUGAUAAGCA